This 477-nucleotide ribosomal RNA is filed under the name uncultured bacterium. RNAcentral's name for it is "partial 16S ribosomal RNA". It matches the Rfam family "Bacterial small subunit ribosomal RNA", at positions 28 to 507 of the family's 1533-position model. The record is from RNAcentral.
GAUGAACGCUGGCGGCGUGCCUAAUACAUGCAAGUCGAGCGAACGGACGAGAAGCUUGCUUCUCUGAUGUUAGCGGCGGACGGGUGAGUAACACGUGGAUAACCUACCUAUAAGACUGGGAUAACUUCGGGAAACCGGAGCUAAUACCGGAUAAUAUUUUGAACCGCAUGGUUCAAAAGUGAAAGACGGUCUUGCUGUCACUGAUAGAUGGAUCAGCGCUGCAUUAGCUAGUUGGUAAGGUAGCGGCUUACCAAGGCAACGAUGGGUAGCCGGCCUGAGAGGGUGACCGGCCACAGUGGGACUGAGAUACGGCCCAGAUUGCGACGGGAGGCAGAAGUGGGGAAUAUUGAACAAUGGGCGGAAGCCUGAAGCAGCAACGCCGCGUGCGGGAGGACGGCCGUCGGGUUGUAAACCGCUUUCGCCUGUGACGAAGCGUGAGUGACGGUAAUGGGUAAAGAAGCACCGGCUAACUACGUG